RNAcentral lists this ribosomal RNA (492 nucleotides) under uncultured bacterium. RNAcentral's name for it is "partial 16S ribosomal RNA". It matches the Rfam family "Bacterial small subunit ribosomal RNA", at positions 29 to 507 of the family's 1533-position model. The record is from RNAcentral.
AGUGAACGCUGGCGGUAGGCCUAACACAUGCAAGUCGAACGGCAGCACAGUAAGAGCUUGCUCUUACGGGUGGCGAGUGGCGGACGGGUGAGGAAUACAUCGGAAUCUACUUUUUCGUGGGGGAUAACGUAGGGAAACUUACGCUAAUACCGCAUACGACCUACGGGUGAAAGCAGGGGAUCUUCGGACCUUGCGCGAUUGAAUGAGCCGAUGUCGGAUUAGCUAGUUGGUGGGGUAAAGGCCCACCAAGGCGACGAUCCGUAGCUGGUCUGAGAGGAUGAUCAGCCACACUGGAACUGAGACACGGUCCAGACUCCUACGGGAGGCAGCAGUGGGGAAUAUUGGACAAUGGGCGCAAGCCUGAUCCAGCCAUACCGCGUGGGCGAAGAAGGCCUUCGGGUUGUAAAGCCCUUUUGUUGGGAAAGAAAAGCAGCAGGUUAAUACCCCGCUGUUCUGACGGUACCCAAAGAAUAAGCACCGGCUAACUUCGUG